RNAcentral lists this unclassified non-coding RNA (237 nucleotides) under plant metagenome. RNAcentral's name for it is "partial contains small subunit ribosomal RNA, internal transcribed spacer 1, and 5.8S ribosomal RNA". The record is from RNAcentral.
UUUCCGUAGGUGAACCUGCGGAAGGAUCAUUAAAAAAAGAGAAACGUCCCGUUCUUUUUCAUAAGGAUGGGUUCUAUUCCCUUAAACCGUGUCUACAUACCUUUGUUGCUUUGGCAGGCCGCCUUCGGGCGUCGGCUCCGGCUGAUAGUGCCUGCCAGAGGACCCAAACUCUAUGUUUAGUGAUGUCUGAGUACUAUAUAAUAUUUAAAACUUUCAACAACGGAUCUCUUGGUUCUG